UGGGAUGGAUCGAUAGAACGAGU
This 23-nucleotide microRNA is filed under the name Apis mellifera (honey bee). RNAcentral describes it as "ame-miR-9876-3p". The record is from miRBase by way of RNAcentral. Lineage: Eukaryota; Metazoa; Arthropoda; Insecta; Hymenoptera; Apidae.